AGAGUUUGAUCCUGGCUCAGGAUGAACGCUGGCGGCGUGCCUAAUACAUGCAAGUCGAGCGAACGGACGAGAAGCUUGCUUCUCUGAUGUUAGCGGCGGACGGGUGAGUAACACGUGGAUAACCUACCUAUAAGACUGGGAUAACUUCGGGAAACCGGAGCUAAUACCGGAUAAUAUUUUGAACCGCAUGGUUCAAAAGUAAAAGACGGUCUUGCUGUCACUUAUAGAUGGAUCCGCGCUGCAUUAGCUAGUUGGUAAGGUAACGGCUUACCAAGGCAACGAUGCAUAGCCGACCUGAGAGGGUGAUCGGCCACACUGGAACUGAGACACGGUCCAGACUCCUACGGGAGGCAGCAGUAGGGAAUCUUCCGCAAUGGGCGAAAGCCUGACGGAGCAACGCCGCGUGAGUGAUGAAGGUCUUCGGAUCGUAAAACUCUGUUAUUAGGGAAGAACAUAUGUGUAAGUAACUGUGCACAUCUUGACGGUACCUAAUCAGAAAGCCACGGCUAACUACGUGCCAGCAGCCGCGGUAAUACGUAGGUGGCAAGCGUUAUCCGGAAUUAUUGGGCGUAAAGCGCGCGUAGGCGGUUUUUUAAGUCUGAUGUGAAAGCCCACGGCUCAACCGUGGAGGGUCAUUGGAAACUGGAAAACUUGAGUGCAGAAGAGGAAAGUGGAAUUCCAUGUGUAGCGGUGAAAUGCGCAGAGAUAUGGAGGAACACCAGUGGCGAAGGCGACUUUCUGGUCUGUAACUGACGCUGAUGUGCGAAAGCGUGGGGAUCAAACAGGAUUAGAUACCCUGGUAGUCCACGCCGUAAACGAUGAGUGCUAAGUGUUAGGGGGUUUCCGCCCCUUAGUGCUGCAGCUAACGCAUUAAGCACUCCGCCUGGGGAGUACGACCGCAAGGUUGAAACUCAAAGGAAUUGACGGGGACCCGCACAAGCGGUGGAGCAUGUGGUUUAAUUCGAAGCAACGCGAAGAACCUUACCAAAUCUUGACAUCCUUUGACAACUCUAGAGAUAGAGCCUUCCCCUUCGGGGGACAA
Molecule: ribosomal RNA, 1042 nt
Filed under: Staphylococcus aureus WMCS6087
Lineage: Bacteria; Bacillati; Bacillota; Bacilli; Caryophanales; Staphylococcaceae
Description: bacterial SSU rRNA
Rfam family: Bacterial small subunit ribosomal RNA
Source: RNAcentral